ACGAACGCUGGCGGCGUGCUUAACACAUGCAAGUCGAACGGAAAGGCCCUGCUUUUGUGGGGUGCUCGAGUGGCGAACGGGUGAGUAACACGUGAGUAACCUGCCCUUGACUUUGGGAUAACUUCAGGAAACUGGGGCUAAUACCGGAUAGGAGCUCCUGCUGCAUGGUGGGGGUUGGAAAGUUUCGGCGGUUGGGGAUGGACUCGCGGCUUAUCAGCUUGUUGGGGGGGUGGUGGCUUACCAGGCUUUGACGGGUAGCCGGCCUGAGAGGGUGACCGGCCCCAUUGGGACUGAGAUACGGCCCAGACUCCUACGGGAGGCAGCAGUGGGGAAUAUUGCACAAUGGGCGGAAGCCUGAUGCAGCAACGCCGCGUGCGGGAUGACGGCCUUCGGGUUGUAAACCGCUUUCGCCUGUGACGAAGCGUGAGUGACGGUAAUGGGUAAAGAAGCACCGGCUAACUACGUG
RNAcentral lists this ribosomal RNA (466 nucleotides) under uncultured bacterium. RNAcentral's name for it is "partial 16S ribosomal RNA". It matches the Rfam family "Bacterial small subunit ribosomal RNA", at positions 29 to 507 of the family's 1533-position model. The record is from RNAcentral.